Molecule: non-coding RNA, 623 nt
Organism: Arachis ipaensis
Lineage: Eukaryota; Viridiplantae; Streptophyta; Magnoliopsida; Fabales; Fabaceae
Source: RefSeq, a predicted model, not a curated record
AGUUCACGCUGAAGCACCCACCAUUAAGCAUUAUCUUUAAACAUUUUCUGUUGGAAAUUAGAGUGUAUGGUGAAUUAUUUUGAUUAUUAUUUCAGAAUAAUUUUGGUGGGAAAUGGGUAGGUUGAGAAGUUUAGAUUGGUAGCAUUUGGUUUUUAACAUGGUAUUCAACACUACUACUACAAAUAAUUUCAGUGGCAUUGUAGCUUGUAGGCCUUUAAGUUUAUUACCAUGAAAUUGAAAGUAUGGUGUUGGUGUAAUCUUUUGAAGCCUUUUUCUCUUGUUGUCACAGUUCCUAGUUGACAUGGACAAACACUUGUCAUAUCUCAUCUAUGGGUAUUUAGAGGAAGUGCCUUGUAUUAACUCCAUCUUGUGAAGGCAAAGAAAGCUAGAAGAUACAUUCCAAAAGAAUUCAAAUAGGCUAGUAUUGGAAUGGAUAACUUGAACGCUUAAUGCACAAAGUGGAGCAGUUUUAGGUUGAUUAUGAUCUUUUACUAAGUAUUUAGGUUGAUGAUCAUCUCUAUUAGUGUAAUUUGAUAUAUUAUGAGCAGUUCUAACUUAUAUUAUUUCUGUAUUUUUCUUCAGUUUUUAGUUUUGGAUUUUGAACUCAAGAUUUAUUUUGUAUU